Molecule: long non-coding RNA, 1843 nt
Organism: Cyprinus carpio carpio
Lineage: Eukaryota; Metazoa; Chordata; Actinopteri; Cypriniformes; Cyprinidae
Source: Ensembl
ACGAUAGGUGACAGUGAAGGACACUCCAUAUCAAGAUGCUGCACUGUCUGCGCGACAGGCCUGAGCAAUAGGGAUUAAAACGUUGCUGGAAUGGACAACAGAGAUGGAGAAAGAGGGAAGUAAGAGGUGGAGAAAAAGGGAAGUUUUUCAUGGGGAUUUAUGAAGAGGGAAAGGAUAACACAUGCUUGGAAUACUAUAUAAGCUUUGUCUCAUAAACUACAGUCAAGUUUGUUCUUUUCACUGUGACUUCACUUGUGUGUAACGUAACAUCUGCAAGUGCCAUUUAUUUUUAUAUUAUUAUUAUUAUUUUUUUUUUAAUAAACAACGGUUGUUUACGGCAGCACAAAGAAUUGUGGGUUAUCUGUAGCAGCGAAGAACACACCCCACUUGCUUUUUUUGUCCUACUUGCUUUUCUGAAAAGAGACAGCCUCGAUGACGUGCAGCCUUCGAAUGCGACCUCCGUAGGGCGCAGCCUUUAAAAUGAGACACAGCUCAUGUCUCCAUGGUUUAAUUUCUGUUAUCAUGCAGGUGCAGUGAGGGAAAAAACAAAGAGUUUAGGGUGGUUGGUUCGUAGAUCUACUUCCACUGUGUGAUGGCCUUGCGAGAGGCUACCAAAAACUCUGUUAGUCAGAAAUUCAUCCGAAUAUACGUCUAUUCGACCUGACUCAAAAAAGAGUCACGUAAGUCAGAAUUUGGCUCAAAAUCAGACGAAAAUCACACUGCGUAUACCCGGCCUAAUGUGUCGAAAACGUCCCAGAGUUGUAAGGACAAAGAAAAGCAUUGGAGUGAAAUUGCCUCAUUUUUGAACAUACCGGGUGAAUGUAGAAAUGUGCUAGCAUGCUAGCAAACAUAUAUAAACAUUAGUUGCUGAAACAUCAAUGAUGAUCUACUGUGUGAGAUCACGUAAGGUGCUCCCUCUGGCAUGAUAAUUGUAAUAUCUUGUAGUGUGUGAUACGCCACGUUUUUCAAAUCGCGUAGUGUGUGCAUGUUUUAGAAAAAAAUCUUCAAAAAUUCUCCUUAUAUGUGUGCUGCAACCAUAUUUCAUAAUCAACUAAGAUUUUAAAACUCCUGUAGUCUUAGCCCAGCUUUAGUUUAUAGCUUUAUUUUGUGAAUGUGAGUGAAGAUAGUUUAAUGUUAGUGUCAAAGCAGCAAAUUUAGUUUCCGUCAGACAGAGAAGACAUCUGUAAUAGAACAUGUUACCAUAGCAAACCGAAGCGUGCACAGGAAUUCCUGCAGUGAAGUCCGCUGAAACGGUAAUGCACGAAGGAAGAACCUCUCGCACUCCUAACCGAGUGACGGAUCCCCUGGAGCACGCAAAACCAGCCAGAGAAUGCGUAUGGCAGCGUGCGGAAGUGCGGUGACAGUUCCCCCGCUGGGUUAAAAGAUGACAGAAUGAAAGGAACACACAUGCUGGGACAUCUUGUGUGAAAGGAUUGCCAAACUGCUUAGACCAAAUUUUUUGCAGAAAAAAAAAAGUGAAAGUUUUUUUUUUUUUGUUUUUUUUUUUGUGCUCCCUGAGGAUCUGAAAGUGGACUCACGUGGCUUGUUGUUGUUCUUGGCUUUAAUUUUAAAUUGAUGGCUUUGACAUUUGCCAGUAAGCUUGUGCCAAAAAAAAAAAAAGGAAUAAAAAAGAAGCCACAAACCUUAGCCAUCGACUAAAGCAAGUUGCAAAGCAAGUUUUUUUUUUUCUCUCUCUCUCUUCUAUUCUACUUGCUACUAUUAUUUUCAUGCAAUUUAUCAUUCUAAUCAAAUUCAUUUAUUGAUCCAGUUCUAUUUAACUGUUGAGUUUAGGUUUUGUCCUGCUGCUUAUGCUGUUGACAGAAUUCCCAUAUUUCAUUAUACA